ACCUGCAUCGAAAGUGAUUGUGGAUCUGUUGGUGACCCAGUCAUUGAUAAUGCAGGGAAAGCAAAGUGAACGAUUUCCCGUGUUUGUGGGUUACUUGGUACCUUUUCAAACCCUGUAACGUUCACACA
This is a small nucleolar RNA of Hyla sarda, 128 nucleotides long. RefSeq annotates it as small nucleolar RNA SNORA71. Lineage: Eukaryota; Metazoa; Chordata; Amphibia; Anura; Hylidae. The transcript has a single exon. The record is from RefSeq and is a predicted model, not a curated record.